GUCUCCACCCGAGACUCAGUGAAAUUGAACUCGCUGUGAAGAUGCAGUGUACCCGCGGCAAGACGGAAAGACCCCGUGAACCUUUACUAUAGCUUGACACUGAACAUUGAGCCUUGAUGUGUAGGAUAGGUGGGAGGCUUUGAAGUGUGGACGCCAGUCUGCAUGGAGCCGACCUUGAAAUACCACCCUUUAAUGUUUGAUGUUCUAACGUGGGCCCCUUACCGGGGUUGCGGACAGUGUCUGGUGGGUAGUUUGACUGGGGCGGUCUCCUCCUAAAGAGUAACGGAGGAGCACGAAGGUUGGCUAAUCCUGGUCGGACAUCAGGAGGUUAGUGCAAUGGCAUAAGCCAGCUUGACUGCGAGCGUGACGGCGCGAGCAGGUGCGAAAGCAGGUCAUAGUGAUCCGGUGGUUCUGAAUGGAAGGGCCAUCGCUCAACGGAUAAAAGGUACUCCGGGGAUAACAGGCUGAUACCGCCCAAGAGUUCAUAUCGACGGCGGUGUUUGGCAC
Molecule: ribosomal RNA, 507 nt
Filed under: Agrobacterium pusense
Lineage: Bacteria; Pseudomonadati; Pseudomonadota; Alphaproteobacteria; Hyphomicrobiales; Rhizobiaceae
Description: partial 23S ribosomal RNA
Rfam family: Bacterial large subunit ribosomal RNA
Source: RNAcentral